This 191-nucleotide microRNA precursor is filed under the name Oryza brachyantha (malo sina). RNAcentral describes it as "MIR812 microRNA precursor family". It matches the Rfam family "MIR812 microRNA precursor family". The record is from Rfam by way of RNAcentral. Lineage: Eukaryota; Viridiplantae; Streptophyta; Magnoliopsida; Poales; Poaceae.
AAUAACCUUAUUUUUCGUUUUUCCGUGUCUAACAUUUGAUUAUUCGUCUUAUUUAAAAAAUUUAUAAAAAACUAAAAAAAUUAGUCACGUAUAAAGUACUAUUUAUAUUUUAUCAUCCAGUAAGAAUAAAAAUAUUAAUCGUAAAAAAAUUUCAAAUAAGACAAAUGGUCAAACGUUGGACACGGAAAAAC